UGGGGAAUCUUGCGCAAUGCGCGAAAGCGUGACGCAGCAACGCCGCGUGCGGGAAGACGGCCUUCGGGUUGUAAACCGCUUUCAGUUGGGACGAAGCUUCGCCGGUGAACAGCCGGCCGGAGUGACGGUACCUUCACAAGAAGCCCCGGCUAACUACGUGCCAGCAGCCGCGGUAAUACGUAGGGGGCAAGCGUUGUCCGGAAUCAUUGGGCGUAAAGCGCGUGUAGGCGGCUUCGUCAGUCCGUUGUGAAAGGCCAGGGCUCAACCCUGGAAUGCCGAUGGAUACUGCGGAGCUCGAGUCCGGAAGAGGCAAGUGGAAUUCCUGUGUAGCGGUGAAAUGCGCAGAUAUCAGGAGGAACACCAAUGGCGAAGGCAGCUUGCUGGGACGGUACUGACGCUGAGACGCGAAAGCGUGGGGAGCAAACA
RNAcentral lists this ribosomal RNA (426 nucleotides) under uncultured bacterium. Its description in RNAcentral is "bacterial SSU rRNA". It matches the Rfam family "Bacterial small subunit ribosomal RNA", at positions 355 to 774 of the family's 1533-position model. The record is from RNAcentral.